AUUGAACGCUGGCGGCAGGCCUAACACAUGCAAGUCGAGCGCGAAAGGUUUUCGGACUGAGUAAAGCGGCGGACGGGUGAGUAAUGCAUGGGAAUCUGCCUGGUAGUGGGGGACAACGUUUCGAAAGGAACGCUAAUACCGCAUACGCCCUACGGGGGAAAGGGGGGGAUCUUCGGACCUCUCGCUAUCAGAUGAGCCCAUGUCAGAUUAGCUUGUUGGUGAGGUAAAGGCUCACCAAGGCGACGAUCUGUAACUGGUCUGAGAGGAUGAUCAGUCACACUGGAACUGAGACACGGUCCAGACUCCUACGGGAGGCAGCAGUGGGGAAUAUUGGACAAUGGGCGAAAGCCUGAUCCAGCCAUGCCGCGUGUGUGAAGAAGGCCUUAGGGUUGUAAAGCACCUUCAGUGGGGAGAAAGGUGGUUCACCUAAUACGUGGAUUAAUUGAUGUUACCCACAGAAGAAGCACCGGCUAACUCCGUGCCAGCAGCCGCCGUAA
RNAcentral lists this ribosomal RNA (497 nucleotides) under uncultured bacterium. Its description in RNAcentral is "partial 16S ribosomal RNA". It matches the Rfam family "Bacterial small subunit ribosomal RNA", at positions 30 to 523 of the family's 1533-position model. The record is from RNAcentral.